GGUUAAGCGACUAAGCGUACACGGUGGAUGCCCUGGCAGUCAGAGGCGAUGAAGGGCGUGCUAAUCUGCGAUAAGCGCCGGUAAGGUGAUAUGAACCGUUAUAACCGGCGAUACCCGAAUGGGGAAACCCAGUGUGAUUCGUCACACUAUCAUUAACUGAAUCCAUAGGUUAAUGAGGCGAACCGGGGGAACUGAAACAUCUAAGUACCCCGAGGAAAAGAAAUCAACCGAGAUUCCCCCAGUAGCGGCGAGCGAACGGGGAGGAGCCCAGAGCCUGAAUCAGCAUGUGUGUUAGUGGAAGCGUCUGGAAAGGCGCGCGAUACAGGGUGACAGCCCCGUACACAAAAGCGCAUGUGCUGUGAGCUCGAUGAGUAGGGCGGGACACGUGGUAUCCUGUCUGAAUAUGGGGGGACCAUCCUCCAAGGCUAAAUACUCCUGACUGACCGAUAGUGAACCAGUACCGUGAGGGAAAGGCGAAAAGAACCCCGGCGAGGGGAGUGAAAAAGAACCUGAAACCGUGUACGUACAAGCAGUGGGAGCCCCACCACCAAAGCAUUCUCUGGUGUUGAAGGCCCUGCAAAGCAGCAUCGCGGUGGCGGAGCGUCGUUUGCGACGCCCAACACACAAAACAAGCGGUGAAUGCUUUGGGGUGGGGUGACUGCGUACCUUUUGUAUAAUGGGUCAGCGACUUAUAUUCUGUAGCAAGGUUAACCGAAUAGGGGAGCCGGAGGGAAACCGAGUCUUAAUUGGGCGUUAAGUUGCAGGGUAUAGACCCGAAACCCGGUGAUCUAGCCAUGGGCAGGUUGAAGGUUGGGUAACACUAACUGGAGGACCGAACCGACUAAUGUUGAAAAAUUAGCGGAUGACCUGUGGCUGGGGGUGAAAGGCCAAUCAAACCGGGAGAUAGCUGGUUCUCCCCGAAAGCUAUUUAGGUAGCGCCUCGUGAAUUCAUCUCCGGGGGUAGAGCACUGUUUCGGCUAGGGGGCCAUCCCGGCUUACCAACCCGAUGCAAACUGCGAAUACCGGAGAAUGUUAUCACGGGAGACACACGGCGGGUGCUAACGUCCGUCGUGAAGAGGGAAACAACCCAGACCGCCAGCUAAGGUCCCAAAGUCAUGGUUAAGUGGGAAACGAUGUGGGAAGGCCCAGACAGCCAGGAUGUUGGCUUAGAAGCAGCCAUCAUUUAAAGAAAGCGUAAUAGCUCACUGGUCGAGUCGGCCUGCGCGGAAGAUGUAACGGGGCUAAACCAUGCACCGAAGCUGCGGCAGCGACGCUGAUGCGUUGUUGGGUAGGGGAGCGUUCUGUAAGCCUGCGAAGGUGACCUGUGAGGGUUGCUGGAGGUAUCAGAAGUGCGAAUGCUGACAUAAGUAACGAUAAAGCGGGUGAAAAGCCCGCUCGCCGGAAGACCAAGGGUUCCUGUCCAACGUUAAUCGGGGCAGGGUGAGUCGACCCCUAAGGCGAGGCCGAAAGGCGUAGUCGAUGGGAAACGGGUUAAUAUUCCCGUACUUGGUGUUACUGCGAAGGGGGGACGGAGAAGGCUAUGUUGGCCGGGCGACGGUUGUCCCGGUUUAAGCGUGUAGGUGUGUGUUCCAGGUAAAUCCGGUUCACUUUAACACUGAGGCGUGACGACGAGGCACUACGGUGCUGAAGCAACAAAUGCCCUGCUUCCAGGAAAAGCCUCUAAGCAUCAGGUAACAUCAAAUCGUACCCCAAACCGACACAGGUGGUCAGGUAGAGAAUACCAAGGCGCUUGAGAGAACUCGGGUGAAGGAACUAGGCAAAAUGGUGCCGUAACUUCGGGAGAAGGCACGCUGACACGUAGGUGAAGUGAUUUACUCAUGGAGCUGAAGUCAGUCGAAGAUACCAGCUGGCUGCAACUGUUUAUUAAAAACACAGCACUGUGCAAACACGAAAGUGGACGUAUACGGUGUGACGCCUGCCCGGUGCCGGAAGGUUAAUUGAUGGGGUCAGCGCAAGCGAAGCUCCUGAUCGAAGCCCCGGUAAACGGCGGCCGUAACUAUAACGGUCCUAAGGUAGCGAAAUUCCUUGUCGGGUAAGUUCCGACCUGCACGAAUGGCGUAAUGAUGGCCAGGCUGUCUCCACCCGAGACUCAGUGAAAUUGAACUCGCUGUGAAGAUGCAGUGUACCCGCGGCAAGACGGAAAGACCCCGUGAACCUUUACUAUAGCUUGACACUGAACAUUGAGCCUUGAUGUGUAGGAUAGGUGGGAGGCUUUGAAGUGUGGACGCCAGUCUGCAUGGAGCCGACCUUGAAAUACCACCCUUUAAUGUUUGAUGUUCUAACGUGGACCCGUAAUCCGGGUUGCGGACAGUGUCUGGUGGGUAGUUUGACUGGGGCGGUCUCCUCCUAAAGAGUAACGGAGGAGCACGAAGGUUGGCUAAUCCUGGUCGGACAUCAGGAGGUUAGUGCAAUGGCAUAAGCCAGCUUGACUGCGAGCGUGACGGCGCGAGCAGGUGCGAAAGCAGGUCAUAGUGAUCCGGUGGUUCUGAAUGGAAGGGCCAUCGCUCAACGGAUAAAAGGUACUCCGGGGAUAACAGGCUGAUACCGCCCAAGAGUUCAUAUCGACGGCGGUGUUUGGCACCUCGAUGUCGGCUCAUCACAUCCUGGGGCUGAAGUAGGUCCCAAGGGUAUGGCUGUUCGCCAUUUAAAGUGGUACGCGAGCUGGGUUUAGAACGUCGUGAGACAGUUCGGUCCCUAUCUGCCGUGGGCGCUGGAGAACUGAGGGGGGCUGCUCCUAGUACGAGAGGACCGGAGUGGACGCAUCACUGGUGUUCGGGUUGUCAUGCCAAUGGCACUGCCCGGUAGCUAAAUGCGGAAGAGAUAAGUGCUGAAAGCAUCUAAGCACGAAACUUGCCCCGAGAUGAGUUCUCCCUGAGACUUUAGGUCUCCUGAAGGAACGUUGAAGACGACGACGUUGAUAGGCCGGGUGUGUAAGCGCAGCGAUGCGUUGAGCUAACCGGUACUAAUGAACCGUGAGGCUUAACCUU
RNAcentral lists this ribosomal RNA (3008 nucleotides) under Salmonella enterica subsp. enterica serovar Typhimurium. RNAcentral describes it as "23S ribosomal RNA". It matches the Rfam family "Bacterial large subunit ribosomal RNA". Lineage: Bacteria; Pseudomonadati; Pseudomonadota; Gammaproteobacteria; Enterobacterales; Enterobacteriaceae. The record is from RNAcentral.